This 797-nucleotide ribosomal RNA is filed under the name uncultured Sphaerochaeta sp. RNAcentral's name for it is "bacterial SSU rRNA". It matches the Rfam family "Bacterial small subunit ribosomal RNA", at positions 8 to 795 of the family's 1533-position model. The record is from RNAcentral. Lineage: Bacteria; Pseudomonadati; Spirochaetota; Spirochaetia; Spirochaetales; Sphaerochaetaceae.
AGAGUUUGAUUAUGGCUCAGGACGAACGCUGGCGGCGCGUUUUAAGCAUGCAAGUCGAGCGGCAAGGGCCUUCGGGCCCCUAGAGCGGCGGACGGGUGAGUAACACGUGGACAAUCUGCCCCCCGGCCGGGGAUAGCCCAGGGAAACCUGGAUUAAUACCGGAUGAGACGGGACCCGCGGAGGCGGGAUCCGGGAAAGGCGCUGCGGCGCCGCCGGGGGAUGAGUCUGCGUCCCAUUAGCUUGACGGCGGGGUAACGGCCCACCGUGGCGACGAUGGGUAGCCGGCCUGAGAGGGUGUACGGCCACAUUGGAACUGAGACACGGUCCAGACCCCUACGGGAGGCAGCAGCUAAGAAUCUUCCGCAAUGGGCGAAAGCCUGACGGAGCGACGCCGCGUGAACGAAGAAGGCCGUGAGGUUGUAAAGUUCUUUUCGGGAGGGGGAACAACCGUGGCAGGGAAUGGCCGCGGGAUGACGUGAAUCCCGGAAUAAGCCCCGGCUAACUACGUGCCAGCAGCCGCGGUAACACGUAGGGGGCGAGCGUUGUUCGGAAUCAUUGGGCGUAAAGGGCGUGCAGGCGGUCCUGCAAGUCCGGCGUGAAAGACCCCGGCCCAACCGGGGGGGCGCGCUGGAAACUGCAGGGCUUGAGUACAGGAGGGGAUGCCGGAAUUCCAGGUGUAGGGGUGAAAUCUGUAGAUAUCUGGAGGAACACCAAUGGCGAAGGCAGGCAUCUGGCCAUGUACUGACGCUGAGACGCGAAGGUGCGGGGAGCAAACAGGAUUAGAUACCCUGGUAGUC